ACGAACGCUGGCGGCGUGCUUAACACAUGCAAGUCGAGCGGUAAGGCCUUCGGGUACACGAGCGGCGAACGGGUGAGUAACACGUGGGUGAUCUGCCCUGCACUUCGGGAUAAGCCUGGGAAACUGGGUCUAAUACCGGAUAUGACUUCUGGGUGCAUGCCUGGGGGUGGAAAGAUUUAUCGGUGCAGGAUGGGCCCGCGGCCUAUCAGCUUGUUGGUGGGGUAAUGGCCUACCAAGGCGACGACGGGUAGCCGGCCUGAGAGGGCGACCGGCCACACUGGGACUGAGACACGGCCCAGACUCCUACGGGAGGCAGCAGUGGGGAAUAUUGCACAAUGGGCGGAAGCCUGAUGCAGCGACGCCGCGUGGGGGAUGACGGCCUUCGGGUUGUAAACUCCUUUCAAUAGGGACGAAGAGAAAUUGACGGUACCUAUAGAAGAAGCACCGGCCAACUACGUGCCAGCAGCCGCUGUAAAAC
This 478-nucleotide ribosomal RNA is filed under the name uncultured bacterium. RNAcentral describes it as "bacterial SSU rRNA". It matches the Rfam family "Bacterial small subunit ribosomal RNA", at positions 29 to 526 of the family's 1533-position model. The record is from RNAcentral.